CCUAACACAUGCAAGUCGAACGAAGCCUUCGGGCUUAGUGGCGGACGGGUUAGUAACGCGUGGGAACGUACCCUUCACUACGGAAUAGUCCUGGGAAACUGGGUUUAAUACCGUAUACGCCCUUCGGGGGAAAGAAUUUCGGUGAGGGAUCGGCCCGCGUUAGAUUAGAUAGUUGGUGGGGUAAUGGCCUACCAAGUCUACGAUCUAUAGCUGGUUUUAGAGGAUGAUCAGCAACACUGGGACUGAGACACGGCCCAG
This 258-nucleotide ribosomal RNA is filed under the name uncultured bacterium. RNAcentral describes it as "partial 16S ribosomal RNA". It matches the Rfam family "Bacterial small subunit ribosomal RNA", at positions 47 to 334 of the family's 1533-position model. The record is from RNAcentral.